This is a long non-coding RNA of Hippocampus comes (tiger tail seahorse), 644 nucleotides long. RefSeq lists it as uncharacterized. The record is from RefSeq and is a predicted model, not a curated record. The transcript has 2 exons. Lineage: Eukaryota; Metazoa; Chordata; Actinopteri; Syngnathiformes; Syngnathidae.
ACGUUUCUCUCGUCUUCUGGUCUUCAUUUGUUGACCUUUCUCAUGUCUUCUUUCUGUUUACCAUUUCCUUACAUUCAGAAAUGUUUUAUUGCACUCUUGAUUUUUUUUUUUUUUUUUGGAAGAAAGUAAUCAUGACAAUGUUGAAAACCUUUUCUUGUUAACAGCUUAUUGAGUUCUGUAUUUUUAUUGUUGUUGUGUUUUUCACUUUUUGGCUGCCCGAGUCAUGUGAUAAAGGUCAUGUUAUUUAUAUCAAGAAUAGAACAGUUUAUCAAUCAUUUGAAUCGGACCCAUUGAUCUGUUUUGGAAGAUGUCGGCCAUUUUAAACGUGAUCCGUACGUUUCUUCUCCAACACAAAGUGAGCAAUUUGGAUUCAUGUUGACUCAAUGAAUUAUGAAGAAAUAUGCUGUGAUGUUGUGCUCAGAAGACGUGAUGUCAAUUUUGUCAAAACAAAAAAAAAGGAAAGCAGGAAAUGACUUGUACCAUUGCUAAAAACAAAGCUUUUUCAACUUCUAAGGAAUGCACCUAGACGUCACCUCAUGAGCACAACGUCAAUCUUGUCUUGAGACUUUUAUUUCAGUGAAAAUGCCUUUUAUGACGUCACAAAACUGAAAUGAGAAAUUAAAAAAGUACGACAUGAAAACUUG